UUAUUCCCCUCUCACUUACACCUCUCUCUCUCUCUCUAACCCAAGUUGGAGUCGGCCACAAACAAACCCUCUCUCGUUCUCUUCUCUUCUUCUGGAAACCCCAAAAGUCCAAAUCUCAGAUAUAUAUAUGCAUACAUAUAUACACAUAUAUUUAUAGAAAGAGAUAGAGAAGGAGAAAGGUGUUGAAUUGAAUUGAAUUGAAUUGAGAUGGAUUCGGAUCAGGGGAAGCUAUUCAUUGGCGGAAUUUCGUGGGAGACGACGGAGGAGAAGCUCAAGGAGUACUUCGAGAACUAUGGCGAUGUUUUGCAGACCGUCGUUAUGAGGGAAAAGUUCACCGGUCGGCCCAGGGGUUUCGGCUUCGUCGUCUUCACAGAUCCCUCCGUUCUCGAUAGGGUUCUUCAGGACAAUCACUCCAUUGAUGGUCGAACGGUUGAGGCUAAAAGGGCCUUAUCAAGAGAGGAGCAGCAAACCUCCGGGCGAGCCGGAAACUCUUACCCUGCGAGAAACUCUGGUGAUGGUGGGAAUGUCAGGACCAAGAAGAUUUUUGUUGGAGGGUUGCCUCCCACUUUAACUGAAGAAGGUUUUCGGGAGUAUUUUGAAGCUUAUGGGCGUGUAACUGAUGUAGUAGUUAUGUACGACCAAAAUACAGGACGACCUCGUGGCUUUGGAUUUAUUUCCUUCGAUGCUGAAGAUGCAGUUGAUAGGGUUUUGCACAAGACAUUUCAUGAUUUAAAUGGUAAGCAAGUGGAAGUAAAGCGGGCUCUUCCUAAAGAUGUCAACCCUGGUGGAGGUGGCCGCACAAUGGGUGGCGGGGCUUAUCAGGGAUAUGGGACAUCUGGUGGAAACCAAAAUACUUAUGAUGGUCGAAUGGAUUCCAACAGGUUCAUGCAGCCUCAGAAUACUGGUGGUUUUCCACCUUAUGGUUCUUCUGGUUAUGGUGCACCUGGAUAUGGAUACGGUCCUUCAAAUAAUGGAAUAGGUUAUGGCAGUUAUGUGGGUGCCAAUACUGGCUACACUGGCCCUACUGGUACUGCCUAUGGGAAUCCUAAUGCUCCUAAUACUGGUUAUGCGGGUGGUCCACCAGGUGGCCGAAAUUCAUGGAGCACACAGGCCCCUGCAGGGUAUGGCACCAUGGGCUAUGGGAAUACCGCUCCCUGGGGUGUUACAAGCAGUGGUGCUGGGGCAGGCAGUGGGGUCCCAGGUUCUACUCCCCCAGGUCAAUCUCCGAGUGCUGCUGGGUAUGGAACUCAAGGAUAUGGUUAUGGUGGGUAUAAUGGUGGUGAUGGGUCCUAUGGGAAUUCAUCCGGGUAUGGUGCUGUUGGUGGGCGUUCUGGGAGUAUCCUAAACAGUGUUAGUGGUCCAGGUGAACUACAAGGAAGUGGCAGUGGCUACUUAAGUGGCUAUGGUGAUGCAAAUGGAACAUAUGGAAAUGCAGCAUGGAGGUCUGAUCAGUCACAAGCUUCUGGAAACUAUGGCGUUCCUCAAACAAAUGGUGCGCAAGUUAGUUAUGCCAGUGCUGGGUAUGGUAGUGCUCAGGGCCGACAAGCACAACAGCAGUAAUUUUAAUGGUUGGAAGUUUAAUUGAACCUUGAUCUUCCUCUGAUGGAUUGGCGGCAUGGGGUCACAAUGGUUUCUCAUUGCCAGCUGCAGCAGCCUCAAUUUGGAUGUCGAUUCUCUUUGGGACUGGAGGAGAGGUGCGCAAGUUCUAAGUGAAGUGUCCACUCAUGGCUGAACACGAGCUUCAUAGUGGGUGCAUCUUCACUUGAGGGGUGUUCGGCAUGGAAUGGAAGUUGAGGAGUUUGUUCAGUUGAAAUUAUGCUUUUUACUGAGACAAUUCUCCAGCCAGACCAACAUUGUGAAACUUUGCAGAUUCCUCGGCAUCCCAAGUCACUAAUUUUGCAAUGACUUGGUUUUGUGGUCGCGUAAUGGAAAUUGUGAGGUGACAGCCUACGGUAUGUUGAGUAAUAGAGUAGUAAAAGUGCUGGUCCACUUUUGGAUUUUAUUGUGUAAAGGCUGUCUUUCGAUUGCUAGGAGUAUCAUUCCAUAUGAUUCCUAAUGUGUUAGAUUCCUAAUGUGUGUUAGACUACAAAAAAGGUGUUGAAAACAGUUUUCAUGAAUUUCAGAAGGAAGCAGUAGAUCUUCUAAUUUGCUCGAUUGCUACAUGUCUUUUAGGAAAUAGGAUAAAUUAGUUCAAGUACUUGAAUUAGUUUCUUACUCUGCAUUGUUUGGGAAAUAAUUUAUGACUUCCAUGUGAAAUCAAUACAUUCGUUUAGGAGUCUUCUCUUCA
Molecule: RNA transcript, 2287 nt
Organism: Morus notabilis
Lineage: Eukaryota; Viridiplantae; Streptophyta; Magnoliopsida; Rosales; Moraceae
Gene name: heterogeneous nuclear ribonucleoprotein 1
Exons: 3
Source: RefSeq, a predicted model, not a curated record